Molecule: long non-coding RNA, 1095 nt
Filed under: Triticum aestivum (bread wheat)
Lineage: Eukaryota; Viridiplantae; Streptophyta; Magnoliopsida; Poales; Poaceae
Description: long non-coding RNA (TAES_LNC000435)
Source: RNAcentral
AUUAAUAGAUCAGAGAGAAAUACAAAGCUAUCUUAAUCCUGCAUAAAAGAGUUUAGAGAAGACUCAAAUAAUAUUCAUAGAUAAUCUGGUCAUAAAUCCACAAUUCAUCGGAUCUCAACAAAUGCACCGCAAAAGAAGAUUACAUUGAAUAGAACUCCAAUAACAUCGAGGAGAACAUUGUAUCGAAGAUCAAAGAGAGAAGAAGCCAUCUAGCUACUAACUACGGACCCGUAGGUCUAUGGUAAACUACUCACACAUCAUCGGAAGGGCAGCAAGGUUGACGUAGAAGCCCUCCGUGAUCGAAUCCCCCUCCGGCGAAGUGCCAGAAAAGGACCCAGAUGGGAUAUCACGAGAAUAGAAGCUUGCGGCGGCGGAAAAGUAUUUGUGGUGUGUCCUCUGACGUAAGGGGAAUAUUUGAGUAUUUAUGGAGCAAGGAUUAGGGUUAGGAGGUCUAUGAGGGGCCCACAAGCCUGGGGGCGCCCCCCGGGGCACGCCCCUAGGGCUUGUGGCCGCCUUGUAGGUCUUCUGGCCUUCUCCCGAAGCUUCCUAGAUUUUUUCUGGUCCAAGAAAAAUCAUCGUAAAGUUUUAUUACUUUUGGACUCCGUUUGGUAUUGAUUUUCUGUAAAAGACAAAAACAAAGAAAGAACAGCAACUGGCACUGGGCACUAAGUUAAUAGGUUAGUCCAAAAAAGAAUAUAAACUAGCAUAUUAAUGACUAUAAAACAUCCAAGAUGAAUAAUAUAAUAGCAUGAAACAAUAAAAAAUUAUAGAUAUGUUAGAGACGUAUCACGCAGCAGCCUUGACCUCAAAGCGGCGGCAGGUUGGGCGGGCCACCACUGCUCCGAGGUGUCCGCCACUCACUGGAGGGAGCCUCUGUCAUGUGGCAAUGGAGAUCCCCAUGGCAGCAGCGGCAACCUCCGUAUGGCGGCGAUGGCGAUUCAUCUCCUCUCGCAGCCACGCCCGUGCCCUGAUGGCGCGCGCCAGUGGCCUGGCAUUAAUGAAGGCGGAUGAAGGCGUCCGAGUGACGAAUGGCAACAUAGCAAGCAUGAAUGUCGAGCGCCGAAUGACGAUGUGCUGGGAGCAAGUGACGGGAAG